Molecule: long non-coding RNA, 531 nt
Organism: Corticium candelabrum
Lineage: Eukaryota; Metazoa; Porifera; Homoscleromorpha; Homosclerophorida; Plakinidae
Exons: 3
Source: RefSeq, a predicted model, not a curated record
UAUUAAAAUGUGAUAUUCUUGUGUUGUAGGUUCGAUACAAAUGUGCUGUGACUCACGAUGCAUUGGGGAAUUCGGUUCCAUGUGUUGUAUUGAAAAGCUGUGGCAAGGUUGUGACGACACAAUGCUUUGAACGUCUUAUCAAGAAGGAUAUGCUUUGUCCAAUUACAGGUCAGAAACUGAAGGACGAUGAUAUCAUUGCUUACAACGGGGAGGUACUGGCUACUCCAGUGUGAAUGAACUGCAAGCGAAGACGUACAAUCCUGUCAUGAUUGCAUAGCAAGGCUACAGUCAUCGAAGGCCUACACGGCAAUCGUCAUACAAUACGUUUGCAACAUAUCACAAGGGAGUAGUCAUACUUAAAGUAUUGAUCAACUUAAAGAACAUAAUCGGUCACGUGAUAUGUUUCUUUACAUGUAAAUGGCUAAUCUGUUCCUUGAGCUUAGCUAACCUGUAAUUUUAGUUUUGUAAAGUCUGAUGUUGCUGCUGUAAUUAUACGUCAUCACAAGAAGUAAACAAAUGUUUGGUCUGUUU